GACGAACGCUGGCGGCGUGCCUAAUACAUGCAAGUAGAACGCACAGUUUAUACCGUAGCUUGCUACACCAUACACUGUGAGUUGCGAACGGGUGAGUAACGCGUAGGUAACCUGCCUGGUAGCGGGGGAUAACUAUUGGAAACGAUAGCUAAUACCGCAUAAUAUUAAUUAUUGCAUGAUAAUUGAUUGAAAGAUGCAAUUGCAUCACUACCAGAUGGACCUGCGUUGUAUUAGCUAGUAGGUGAGGUAACGGCUCACCUAGGCGACGAUACAUAGCCGACCGGGGAGGGUGGUCGGCCACACUGGGACUGGGACACGGCCCAGACUCCUACGGGAGGCAGCAGGAGGGAAUCUUCGGCAAUGGACGAAAGUCUGACCGAGCAACGCCGCGUGAGUGAAGAAGGUUUUCGGGUCGUAAAGCUCUGUUGUAAGAGAAGAACGGGUGUGAGAGUGGAAAGUUCACACUGUGACGGUAUCUUACCAGAAAGGGACGGCUAACUACGUG
Molecule: ribosomal RNA, 505 nt
Filed under: uncultured bacterium
Lineage: Bacteria
Description: partial 16S ribosomal RNA
Rfam family: Bacterial small subunit ribosomal RNA
Source: RNAcentral